UUUUAUCUCUCUUCACUUCUCUGCAGAAGAAAAUUUGCUAUCCUCCGAACACCACGAACUAGAAACUCCAUCGAUUCUAAAAUCUCAUCUGUAUCUCUAUAUUCCAUUACAAUUUUAGUUUUCUCUCGCAACUUCUUUCACAGCCGAUCGAAAUCUCUAUCUUUCUCUCGAUUUUUUUCUCAAUCAAAAUCAUUGGGGGUAGAGAUUCUUCUCAAUUGAUUCAUGAAGAAACUAGGGUAUAGAUUCUUCUUAAUUGAGUCAUGAAGAAAUUUAGGGUUCUUCGAAUGAAAUUUAUUUUCCAAGGAGAUUACUCAUUACAACUAUUUUUCUGUGAUUCAUAAGAUUUACUCCUAUGGGCACUGAGAUUAUUAUUAGAUCUACUCGUACUCAAGAUGUUCUUCAGUGUGUCAUUUCUCUCUCAGGGUGACUUUUGUAUUAAGAUUUUGAGGAUUUUUGUCACUGGAUCUGAUUUUGGAGAUUUUUGUGAGUUACGGCAGAAACAUGUUCUUUGUUGCUGUGAAGUGUAUAGAUGAUUAGUUUGUCGACAUAAUUUUGUGUAUCUGGCUAAUUAAACUUUUGGCGGUUAUGGCAGAUAUGUAAGUAUUCAAUGCUUGUACUAUCAUCACUAGAUUUACAAGGAUUGUUGGAGAACUUUUUGGCGUGCUGAUUGCGGUCCUUUUGAUUCAAGAGGCCAUUAAAGGAAUGGUUAAUGAAUUUUCAGUUUCGAAGUCUGAAAAUCCAAAUGAAGAAAGAUAUCAAUUUCAGUGCGUGGCUGUAUACAAAUGGACUGUUGGGACUAAUCUACACCUUUGGACUUCUCUCUACUUCUUUAAAAAGCAGGAGGGCCAGGUCCUGGCGUUAUGGCACAUGUCUGGAACCGUUUUAAACUCAUCUAACUUUGUACUUCUAUAUAAGAGUACUUAGAACUUGAAAACAUUUUCGAACUGAUUUAUUAUAACAGAAUUCCUCGGAAGCUUUAUUGUAGACUAUGGGUUCCUUUCAUUGUUGUGGUGUGGACAUCAAUGUCAUAAAGUAUUCCAAGCAAAGUUUCAUAUGGAGUUCCACGAAGGCUUUAUACUCCUCUUCCAUGGAAAUCUGCAUCGUUAUAUCAUUGGACAGUAAUCAAGGUAAUUACUUAGAUCAACGUACAUGCACAAAUUUAAAUUUUUAGUUGUUGUAUAUGGCUGAAAUUUAUGUCGAAACUGCAGGAUAUGGGAAAAGUCCCACCGGCUUACAUUUUUGCUGCCAUUAUACCAGAUAUAAUGGUAGCUGCUCUUUACUUUUUCGACCACACUGUUGUUUCUUCAGAUGGCCCAACAGAAGGAAUUCAAUCUAAAAAAGCCAUAUGCUUACCACUAUGACAUUUUGUUGCUUGGUUUUAUGGUAUAAUUAAUUACUAAGAUAUCGAUCAUAUUAGUUCAUUGGUUCAUCCAUAUUGUCAUAACUCUAUUAUCUUACUUUUUCUCAACUUGAAUCCAUGAUUUCAGUUUCUGAUAUGUGGAUUGUUAGGACUUGCUCCUACAAAUGGGGUAUUUCCAAAGUCUCCUAUGCACACAAAGAGCCUCACUGUUCUUAAGAGAACAGUAGUCAGGAAAAUGGGGCAACCUUAAUGAAGUUCAUAUAUGCAUUGUGUUUUUUGAUGUUCCAUUUUACGGCCUCACUCCUAAUGGUUAAAGAACAGUAUUCAGGAAAAUGGUUCUGUUCAGAACACAUUCGGUUUUGUUUUCUUUAUAUUUUGAUUUAAUGAGCCUUGCCUUUAAUUUUUGGUGUUGUAGAUUCGCUCUUCUACUAAUGACUAUGAGAGCAAUGGUGAAAACAAAUCAUUUCAAGGGAGUGUUCAAGCCUCGGCAUCUUCUGAUUCUCUUCGUCUAGAAAUUCUUAAUGGUGUUGUGAAGAAGAAACUUUCACAACAACACUUCUUGCAGCAAUGAAUAAGGUUAGUUUCAGCUAAAUUUAGCAAUAUUUUUGUACAAGUUAUAUUUCUAGAUCAGACUCCAAUAAGAAUGCUUUGGAAGAUCCAUUUGUCUUCACUGCAAAUGCGAAUGAAGCUUCAUCAAUUUUGACAACUGUUGGAGAUGAUGAGUAUUGGAAUGGAGAAGCUCAGGUAAGGUUUCAUUCCAUAUUUCCACUAUAUAUAUAUCUAACAUGUUGGUUGUUGAUACGAGCUUGAACAUUAUUACCCUAUGAUGUUGUUACAAGAAAAACAUGAGUUUCUAAAGGAUUCAACUAAUUUCUUUGUAUCUGCCUUCACUUUCCCUGAAGCUCCUGUUUUGUUGCAAACAUAUUACAUUCAUAAAUUUCUUUCAAUGCUGCUGAAAGCCCUUGUGAUAUCAUAGAGGUGAAACCGAAUAUGAGAUAUUAGUAUUUGCAUACCAAAAGCAUUCCACAAAAGUAAUUCUGUUAUAGUCCUUUUCUUUUCCUGAAUUCCCUGCUUUUUUCAUUUAUGUUUUCACUCUUGUUGCAUGAUUACGUACCUGCUACUGAUGAGCCAACUGCUGUUUACAUGACCUAGAUCUAGGUUUAAUCUCUCAAAUUACCCCACAUGUGCUUCCAACAUUAAAAGAAAGAAUAUGAGGUAUACUCUAGUAACUUAUUUUGUUCUACCGUGUAUUAUGAACUAAACGAAGCAAUUGUAAUGUUUUUUAUUUGCUUUGCAGGAACGACGUUCUUUGUCAUAUGUGAACCAGGGACACAACACAUGGAUGCUCUACUUGAUAUCAUUUAUGAAGUAUUGGCUAAGUUCAUCCUCAUUGAAGGAUCUAAUCGAUUUGUUGCUUAUUGUCUUAGUUUAGCAUCUUGUUGUUAGAACUUAGUAGCUAGCUAGAUUUGACAUGUAUUGUUCUGAAUCAAAAUUUCAUCUUUUUUGUGUAAUUUUAAACCCAAUGGAUAAAAUAAAUGAAUGAAUGAAUGAAUGAAUGUGGAAUUCUCAAGUUU
Papaver somniferum (opium poppy) is the source of this 2934-nucleotide long non-coding RNA. RefSeq lists it as uncharacterized. The record is from RefSeq and is a predicted model, not a curated record. The transcript has 3 exons. Lineage: Eukaryota; Viridiplantae; Streptophyta; Magnoliopsida; Ranunculales; Papaveraceae.